Molecule: ribosomal RNA, 253 nt
Filed under: uncultured bacterium
Lineage: Bacteria
Description: partial 16S ribosomal RNA
Rfam family: Bacterial small subunit ribosomal RNA
Source: RNAcentral
UACAGAGGGUGCGAGCGUUGUUCGGAGUUACUGGGCGUAAAGGGUGUGUAGGCGGUUGUUUAAGUUUGGGGUGAAAUCUCCCGGCUCAACUGGGAGGGUGCGCCGAAUACUGAAUGACUAGAGUGCGGGAGAGGUGAGUGGAAUUCCUGGUGUAGCGGUGAAAUGCGUAGAUAUCAGGAGGAACACCGGUGGUGUAGACGGCUCACUGGACCGUAACUGACGCUGAGACACGAAAGCGUGGGUAGCAAACAGG